GCCGAUGUAGCUCAGUUGGCUAGAGCAGCUGAUUUGUAAUCAGCAGGUCGGAGGUUCGAGUCCUCUCAUCGGCUCAA
Molecule: transfer RNA, 77 nt
Filed under: Kordia sp.
Lineage: Bacteria; Pseudomonadati; Bacteroidota; Flavobacteriia; Flavobacteriales; Flavobacteriaceae
Description: tRNA-Thr
Rfam family: tRNA
About the family: Transfer RNA (tRNA) molecules are approximately 80 nucleotides in length. Their secondary structure includes four short double-helical elements and three loops (D, anti-codon, and T loops).
Source: RNAcentral